Non-coding RNA from Musa acuminata subsp. malaccensis (wild Malaysian banana), 184 nucleotides. The record is from RefSeq and is a predicted model, not a curated record. NCBI's taxonomy places the organism in Eukaryota, Viridiplantae, Streptophyta, Magnoliopsida, Zingiberales, Musaceae.
CUCUACUGUACAGAUCAAUGGAUGUAACUUAGUCAGACAGUCCUGGUCGUAGCAAAUUGGGAGGUUGUGAAACCAAAGACUUGAGCUGCAAAGCACACAUAUACGCCUAGGUGAGGGUUGCCUGUCUUUUGUCUUCCCCAUCUUGAAUUGGAGCAUAUGUUGGAAUUGCUUCAUGAGUUAUCCA